This 466-nucleotide ribosomal RNA is filed under the name uncultured bacterium. RNAcentral describes it as "partial 16S ribosomal RNA". It matches the Rfam family "Bacterial small subunit ribosomal RNA", at positions 28 to 507 of the family's 1533-position model. The record is from RNAcentral.
GAUGAACGCUGGCGGCGUGCUUAACACAUGCAAGUCGAACGAUGAAGCCCAGCUUGCUGGGUGGUUUAGUGGCGAACGGGUGAGUAACACGUGAGUAACCUGCCCUUAACUCUGGGAUAAGCCUGGGCAACUGGGUCUAACACCGGAUAGGUGCGUUCACCGCAUGGUGGGUGUUGGAAAGAUUUAUCGGUUUUGGAUGGACGCGCGGCCUAUCCGCUUGUUGGUGAGGUAUUGGCUCACCAAGGCGAUGACGGGUAGCCGGCCUGAGAGGGUGAACGGCCACACGGGGACUGAGACACGGCCCAGACUCCAACGGGAGGCAGCAGUGGGGAAUAUUGCACAAUGGGCGCAAGCCUGAUGCAGCGACGCCGCGUGAGGGAUGACGGCCUUCGGGUUGUAAACCUCUUUCAGUAGGGAAGAAGCGAAAGUGACGGUACCUGCAGAAGAAGCACCGGCUAACUACGUG